RNAcentral lists this long non-coding RNA (572 nucleotides) under Oryza brachyantha (malo sina). RNAcentral's name for it is "long non-coding RNA (OBRA_LNC002157)". The record is from RNAcentral. Lineage: Eukaryota; Viridiplantae; Streptophyta; Magnoliopsida; Poales; Poaceae.
UUUGGUAUCAUCCCAUACAAGCCCAAGUGAAUUCUGGAAGGAAGUCAUGGAGCGUCGGUGGGACGAUAGGAGUUUUAAUACGAUGAACAACUGAAGUAGAACUGAUGAGAAUUUGUAACAUUCUAAAGACCCAACAUCCUUAUAUGUGGUGUCCAUGCAUGGUAUGUUUGUGCAUAGAAUUGCAUUAUACAAUUAUGCUUGCAAAGUUAAAUAUGCUUGCAAAGUUUGCACAUGGUUGGUGAGCCAAUUAUGCAUGCUUCUCUAGGACGUCCACUCUAUAAAUGCUGAGCAUCACCAUGGUGCAGCCAAGAACAAAACAAUCUUAUUCUAGUAGAAAGAGUGAAACCUUGGAAGAAGAUUGGAAGUUAAGAUGUGAACAUGGUGUGUGAAAAAAAUAUGAUUAGCUUAUUGUAAGAUUCUAUUAGGAAGAAGAGGCAUCAGGAGUGGUAGAUAUAUUUAGGAUUGAUAGCCUGCUCGUAGAAGGACCAACUAGAGGAAGUAGAAAAUAUAGAGAAUGACCUCAAUAUGUCCAACCAUCGUGAUAAGUAUGAUUGUCCUAGGAUGUAGGGGCU